Molecule: ribosomal RNA, 451 nt
Filed under: uncultured bacterium
Lineage: Bacteria
Description: bacterial SSU rRNA
Rfam family: Bacterial small subunit ribosomal RNA
Source: RNAcentral
GUCGAGGAUCAUUUGCAAUGGGCGAAAGCCUGACAGUGCGACGCUGCGUGGAGGAUGAAGGCCUUCGGGUUGUAAACUCCUGUCAUUCGGGAACAAGGGCGGGAGGGUGAAUAAUCCUUCCGAUUGAUGGUACCGAAAGAGGAAGCCACGGCUAACUCUGUGCCAGCAGCCGCGGUAAUACAGAGGUGGCGAGCGUUGUUCGGAUUUACUGGGCGUAAAGGGUGCGUAGGUGGUUCCGUGUGUCGGAUGUGAAAUCCCACUGCUCAACGGUGGAACGGCAUUCGAAACUGCGGGGCUAGAGUGCAGGAAGGGAGAGCGGAAUUCUUGGUGUAGCGGUGAAAUGCGUUGAUAUCAAGAGGAACACCGGUGGCGAAGGCGGCUCUCUGGAAUGCAACUGACACUGAGGCACGAAAGCCGGGGGAGCAAACAGGAUUAGAUACCCCGGUAGUCC